AGUGGACACACCAGAGAAUUAUGAUGAUGUCAUUAUUAAUGGACAGUGCUCUCAGUGUGCAACAGAGGAAGAUCAGGAGGAAUAUGAUGAUGUGUGGAGUAUAACUGAAGAUGUGAUAAACCUGUUAGACUAUGAUGAUGGGGGGGAGGUGUCAAACGGUGAGGGAGGAGCUGUAUGACUCAAUGGCCACACCUGCUGCCUCUGUUUAUUUCAUCAAGUUUUUUUUUUUUUUUUUUUUUAAGUUGCCUUUGAUUCUCUUAAUAUAAUUUAAUAUGUUGCUUAAAAUAGUCAUGAACACAGAUGAAGAGAAUCACUUUUAAUAUUAUAAAUUCUAUUUAACAUAUGGUGGUUAUGGAUCAGGACUAGGGUUUAAGGGACUAAGUAUUUUCUAUGCUUAAUCAUUUUUGGUUAAUUAAUAUGUGUUUGGGGCAACAUGUAAUGAAAAAAGAAGUGUAACAAAGGGAGUAAUAAUUGACAAGAUUUUCAUAAU
Molecule: long non-coding RNA, 490 nt
Organism: Carassius gibelio (silver crucian carp)
Lineage: Eukaryota; Metazoa; Chordata; Actinopteri; Cypriniformes; Cyprinidae
Exons: 3
Source: RefSeq, a predicted model, not a curated record